RNAcentral lists this ribosomal RNA (497 nucleotides) under uncultured bacterium. RNAcentral's name for it is "partial 16S ribosomal RNA". It matches the Rfam family "Bacterial small subunit ribosomal RNA", at positions 28 to 507 of the family's 1533-position model. The record is from RNAcentral.
GAUGAACGCUGGCGGCGUGCCUAAUACAUGCAAGUCGAGCGAACAGACGAGGAGCUUGCUCCUCUGAUGUUAGCGGCGGACGGGUGAGUAACACGUGGAUAACCUACCUAUAAGACUGGGAUAACUUCGGGAAACCGGAGCUAAUACCGGAUAACAUGCUGAACCGCAUGGUUCAACAGUGAAAGACGGUCUUGCUGUCACUUAUAGAUGGAUCCGCGCCGCAUUAGCUAGUUGGUAAGGUAACGGCUUACCAAGGCAACGAUGCGUAGCCGACCUGAGAGGGUGAUCGGCCACACUGGAACUGAGACACGGUCCAGACUCCUACGGGAGGCAGCAGUAGGGAAUCUUCCGCAAUGGGCGAAAGCCUGACGCGGCAACGCCGCGUGAGUGAAGAAGGUCUUCGGAUCGUAAAACUCUGUUAUUAGGGAAGAACAAAUGUGUAAGUAACUAUGCACGUCUUGACGGUACCUAAACAGAAAGCCACGGCUAACUACGUG